CGUCAGUGUUUGAAGCUAAACUGAAGUCUUAGAGGCCUUCAGAAACCACUGGAGAAGAUGACCUGAAUCCCCUGGAGCUUUGCUGGGGUGCAAGAGUGAAGAGAUUUGUCAAGGAGUCCUACAAGCCCACUCAAGAGGAUGCCAGCAAAGCAAGCACCUGGGCAGGUGGGUGCCAUGUUCUGCAAUCAGCAAGAGUUCAUCUCUAUAACUUGGUAUCAGCUGGAACAAUCCUUCUUGAAACUGCAGAAUCUAUCUCCAAGAUGGCUCCUUUACCAGCUAGUUGGUUGUUGGCUGGGAGCCUAACCAGCACUAUGUGCUGGGGGUCUCAGUUCAUCUCCACAUAAUCUCUCCAUAGUCUGCUUGAGCUUCCUGUAGCAUGAUGGCUGGGUUCCAGAACCUCCAGAGCUGAAAAGUGUGUUCCUUUUUUAUGACUCAUUCUGAGAAAUCACAAAAUGUUCUUCCACUACAGUCACAAAACUGCCUGGAUUCUAAGGAAUGGCAGAGAUCACUUUCUAUCAAUUGAAGGACUUCAAAGUUACAUUUUAAGGAAAACAUAUGUAGUGGGAGAUAUUGGAAUGGUUAUCUUUUCAAAAUACAUCUAAUAUGUCCCAUGGAUAAGCAAAUACUAUAACUUGGGUCCAGUAUUUGUGCUUAAUUUCUGUAUGGUACAUUUUGUUCAAGAAAGAAUUUGUAUAUGUCGCACAUUCUAAAAAGACUUCUUUCUGAUCUGGAGAAAAUGAUGAAACAGGAAUCCAGAAUAAUUCAGGCACCAGGUUUGCACAUUUUAUAACAACCAACUCUCAUGGAAAAUAACUGGGGUCCCAGCAGAACUAUAUUAAUCCCUUUUAAGGGAAGCCCCUUCAUGACCUAAUACCUUGCAUGAGGUUCCACCACCUCUGAACACCACAACACUCAGUUUCUAGCAUAUAAAUUUUUGAGGGAAAUAGUCAAAUCAUAUCAUACCAUAGUACAACUUCAGCUAGCAGCACCUCAGUAAUUGGUGCUGGUUAGUUCAGACAAAUGCCCCUGGGGAAAAAAAAAUGUUUGCACUGAGCAAGCUGUUUCAGGUUGAGUAAAGAUAUGUCCAACUGGGGGAAUUUCCUUGGAAAUACCAGAUAGUCCCAACAAUGGCAGUGCCCUGAGAAUGGUCUUUUGAAAUUCUUCAAACCCUCUGUUCCCUCAAAUGCCUCCUCCUAGGCUGUUGUUUUCCAUAGAUACUUUAGUUAUAAGACCUUUGGUUUUCAGGGCUACUGUAAAGCUGAUGAGAGGGUAGUGGGAACAAAGCAAGUGAAAAAUUAACAAAGCUCACUAUUCUAAAAAAAAAUUCACAUUUUUUUUCUAAAUGAUCUUAAUAUUUUGUAAGUCUUUGGUUAAUUUUCUGCAUUCCAAGGAAUUCAUUUUUUACAAUUUUUGUCAAUAUUAUUGAUUUUGUGGAAGGGUAGCUUUUUAUUUCACCAUUCCUGCUCAUGUCUGACCAAUUAAUCAUAUAAUCAUAAUAAAGUAUGUUUAGAUUUUUGAUGAAAAAAACAAUAAAUAGUGCUAUAGAACCAUAUUGGGGAAUUUUCUUAGUGCAGCAUUAUGUAAAAGUAAUAUUUAAUCUGAGAAGUGAAAUAUGAGCAGAAGUUUACCAGGUGAUUAAGGGAGGAAAGAAUUUUUUAAUAUAAUUCUAAGGAACGAGAAAAAAGAUCACCCAUUAGAGGAACUGAAAUUCUGUAAAAUGGAAUUAAGAUUGAAGAAUGAAU
RNAcentral lists this long non-coding RNA (1742 nucleotides) under Marmota monax (woodchuck). Lineage: Eukaryota; Metazoa; Chordata; Mammalia; Rodentia; Sciuridae. The record is from RNAcentral.